Zea mays is the source of this 1707-nucleotide long non-coding RNA. RefSeq lists it as uncharacterized. The record is from RefSeq and is a predicted model, not a curated record. The transcript is spliced from 4 exons. Lineage: Eukaryota; Viridiplantae; Streptophyta; Magnoliopsida; Poales; Poaceae.
GGACGCACCUCUCUGUGGGACCUCUCCCCCUCGGCGCCGCGGCCGCCCCUCCCCACCGUCUGGUGCCGCGCCACCACGCAGUCCACCGAGGACGCCUCCGCGGCGAAGGGUAUCCCGGGUGCGCACCACACAUCGGCGCCGAUCCCACCGGUGACGAGGCCUCCGCCCGCUCCCGCUCCGCCGCCGCCACGCUCCUUCCUCCUGUCCUUGCCCCUCCUCCGCCGCCGCCCGUGCCAGUCCGCCGACGACCGCAAGGCCGCCGCCGCGGCCGCUCCGGGCGCGUACGCCUUGGACGCCGCCGCCGACGUGCAGCCCAGGCCGCGCAGCGCCGCCGAGGCGAACCCCUUCCUUCUCCCCUCCUCCGGCGCCGGCGCUGGCGGCGGAGGCGGAGGCGAGGAGGCCUCGCCGCGCGGAUGCAGGAGGAGGCGCCGGAUCCCCCGCCGGCGCUCUGCCGUGGACGAGCGGUCCCCUGACAUGGCCUCCUGUCCUAGGCCUCGGCUUCCCUCCCCUGGCUGGCGCUUGCUCGCCGGGCCCGUGGCGGUGAUGAGGGGGCGGCAGUAAAUAGUUGUGGCAGACUGGCAGCAGUGUGGUUGAAUCGACGCGUCUGCCUGUGCGGCUGCGGCGUAGUAGUAGCCUAGUAGGAGCAGCAGUGCGAGGGGAUGGUGUGGGCGUGGGCCUCCCAGUCGUUCCAUCGGUUAGGACCGACUAAUCAACAUCGUAGACCGACUUAUCAAGGCGAGUUACCAAUUAAUCAGCAAGGAACACUGGGAUGUCGGUCCGGUUUAGAAACACGUGGACAACAUAUAUUCCAGAUUCAAGUACAAGUAUUAUAAGAAACUGUGGAAGUGGGUGGUGCUACACGUUUCAAGCAACACCUUGCAUCGUGUGGGGGAUGUACAAGGUUGUCACAACGUUCCACCAAACAUUGUAGAUUACUUUCAACGGGAACUUGAUAAGGUCCAUGAUAAAAGGAAAGAAAGAGUAGCGGAAGAGGCAAGAAGUUGCAAGUGGUGGAUUCGCAUCAUGGUUCCGAUGAUGAUGAUGAUGAUGAUGAUGAUGAUGAUGGAUGAUGAUGAUGUUGAUGAUGAUGAUGAGUUACAGGGCGCAAUGCGUGUGUCGAGAGAGGAGGAGGAGCUUAGGAGGCGUGCUCGCGUGAGCGGUUGCACGUAUGAGACGGGUGGUGGCUCAUCCUAAGGUGGUAUCCUUGGUGUGUUUGGGAGAAUAUGUUCUAGGAAGGAGAAGCCAUAUAUGGUUUAGAUAAGGAUUGAUACAGGUCCAUUCUCUAAGGCAGGAAAGAAUGUGGUCCAUUUUGUUGGUUAGCGGUGGGCUAAGUGGUUCCAUGCGGAGGUGAUUCCAGGGCAUAAAGCUAAGUAGCUAACAGUCCAUAUUUCAUCAAUGCAUUAAGAGAGACGCAAAAACAUGGUGAUGGGGUCCAAUAUCCGAAAGGCUAUUUGAUUGGCAAUCGUUACUUCUUACUUAGACGAGAAUGAGAAGGAAUUGCAGGUUGAUUUUACGAAGUUCAAGGAGCACUGGACAACAUAUGGACUUACCAUCAUGUGCGACUCAUGGACACUGGACAGGACCAACCCAAAUGAAAUCAUGGACAUCGUAACCGAAAUUGGUCCAGAGCAUCUGGUCCAAAUUAUCACUGAUAAUGGCGUGAGCUACAAAAAGGCAUGUCGUAUGGUAGUCGCGAAGCAUCCUACU